ACCCACAAAUCAAUUCCUUAUUCUACUAAACAAGAGAUCUUACUUCCUAAAUUCUUCGUUCUAACCCUCUGUUCCCUUGAUCAGUUUACCUCAGGCCCAAAGAUUUAUUUUAAACGUUGCGAAUCUUUAAAAUCGUAAAAAAAAAAUAUAAAAAUAACUAUAAUGAUAAUCAAAUAUAUAGAAUCAAGAGGCACUAAACAAUCAUUUAAUUAGCUACCAUAAUUCUAGAAAGAGAAGUAUAACUCCAUAUAUUACAUGAAGCAAUUACAACAAAUCAUUCAAAGAAAAAUAUAAAAUUAGAUAAAUAAGG
Molecule: long non-coding RNA, 310 nt
Filed under: Capsicum annuum
Lineage: Eukaryota; Viridiplantae; Streptophyta; Magnoliopsida; Solanales; Solanaceae
Description: long non-coding RNA (CANN_LNC016036)
Source: RNAcentral